GCUACAAUGGGUGGGCACAGAGGGUUGCCACGGAGCAAUCCGGAGCGAAUCCCUUAAAACCAUCCUCAGUUCGGAUUGUAGGCUGCAAUCGCCUGCAUGAAGCCGGAGCUGCUAGUAACCGCAGGUCAGCUAUACUGCGGUGAAUACGUUCUCGGGCCUU
This 160-nucleotide ribosomal RNA is filed under the name uncultured Chloroflexota bacterium. RNAcentral describes it as "uncultured Chloroflexi bacterium partial 16S ribosomal RNA". It matches the Rfam family "Bacterial small subunit ribosomal RNA", at positions 1224 to 1382 of the family's 1533-position model. Lineage: Bacteria; Bacillati; Chloroflexota. The record is from RNAcentral.